AUUGAACGCUGGCGGCAGGCUUAACACAUGCAAGUCGAGCGGGGUGAUGGUGCUUGCACUAUCACUUAGCGGCGGACGGGCGAGUAAUGCUUAGGAAUCUGCCUAUUAGUGGGGGACAACACCUCGAAAGGGAUGCUAAUACCGCAUACGUCCUACGGGAGAAAGCAGGGGAUCACUUGUGACCUUGCGCUAAUAGAUGAGCCUAAGUCGGAUUAGCUAGUUGGUGGGGUAAAGGCCUACCAAGGCGACGAUCUGUAGCGGGUCUGAGAGGAUGAUCCGCCACACUGGGACUGAGACACGGCCCAGACUCCUACGGGAGGCAGCAGUGGGGAAUAUUGGACAAUGGGGGGAACCCUGAUCCAGCCAUGCCGCGUGUGUGAAGAAGGCCUUAUGGUUGUAAAGCACUUUAAGCGAGGAGGAGGCUCUUUUGGUUAAUACCCAAGAUGAGUGGACGUUACUCGCAGAAUAAGCACCGGCUAACUCUGUGCCAGCAGCCGCCGUAA
Molecule: ribosomal RNA, 503 nt
Filed under: uncultured bacterium
Lineage: Bacteria
Description: partial 16S ribosomal RNA
Rfam family: Bacterial small subunit ribosomal RNA
Source: RNAcentral